RNAcentral lists this non-coding RNA (21 nucleotides) under Caenorhabditis elegans. The record is from RNAcentral. Lineage: Eukaryota; Metazoa; Nematoda; Chromadorea; Rhabditida; Rhabditidae.
UUAACCCUUCAUACAUUGAAA